Long non-coding RNA from Triticum dicoccoides, 1636 nucleotides. RefSeq lists it as uncharacterized. Lineage: Eukaryota; Viridiplantae; Streptophyta; Magnoliopsida; Poales; Poaceae. The record is from RefSeq and is a predicted model, not a curated record. The transcript is spliced from 5 exons.
CCCACCUAAACCUAAACCUAGGUCACCUGCCGUCGCCACCUGACUUGCCGGCCGAUUUGCUCACGUUGUUGCUGCCUCUCCCACCACAAGCAGCGCCUCCCAAAGCCUCCUUCUAGCAUGUGGUGCAACCCCAAGGUAACGCCUUAACAGAAUGCAGGACAGGAGAAGAGGGAGGGAGAUCCACCGUGACCGAAUCAGGCCGGGCGGCGACCAUGGCACACCUAGAUCGGCCAGCUCCGUCGACGUCGAGCUCCUCUGCUCCCGGUGCCAGAUCUGCCUUGGGCUCCAUCUCCACAGCCACGCACCUACAGCCGCCAUGGAAGGUGCUGUGUGUGUGUUUGCUGCGCAGGUGCUCUGUGUGCUUGCUUCUUCCCUUCCUGGGACGCUGCUGGUCCGACGCCAUGGACAAUUCCACUGAACAAACCAAGGUAAAGAAAGACAAACACGGAAAAGGCUACCUGUUGGCUGUGGGUGCUGAGCUGAUGGACAGUGUGGAAGAAGGAGGUGUGAUCUUGGCAGUGGCCCAUGAAGCAUUUUUUCUUUGCAUGUUGAUCACUAUUGCACUGUUCAGGUUCUUAAUCAAGGUAGUAGCAAAUUCUCAGUGUUUUCCUCUGUACAAAUUUCGAAUUGUUUGAUGUUCUUUACUUUUAUUUCUCCUAAUCAAUCAUCUAAGUUCCCAAUGAAAGUAGCUUUGUGUGUGUGAUCAUGCUUCAUUUACUUCUAUCGCUAAGUUUCAGUUAUCUCAAUAUGACCACUAUGAAAGCCAGGCGGUGUUUUCUUGAGAAAAUAGUGUAAUAAACAGAGAUUCUUUGUGUUGCAAAUAAUUUUGUAUACUGAAAGAACAACUCAGCCCAGUUUGCAUGCAGUUGGCACAUAUGUUCGCCAGAAACAGAUGUGGGUGAGUGUGCGUUUUCUUACUGCUUUAAUACUUGCAGUGACUGAUCAUCUGUGAUUGUGGGUCACAAGAAAGGGAAUGCUAACCGUGGUGGUGGUGAUUGAAGAGCCCUAAAUCAAUUCAGCUCUGUAGAUUGGAGUAGCAACAUGGGACAUUGCACCAUCGAGCUCCCUCUGUAUGAUUCAUCAUCUUUUCUUGAUCUGUCAACUGGAGGAAUCUACAGAUUCUUGAAUACAUUCCUGACCUCGCGCAAUCAAUAGUCGGUCGGAUCUCGUCCUCCAACGACCAAGAGUUCCGAGACGAAUGCGUGGUGCCCCUCGCGAAACAUAGGGACAUGGCAGAGAGUAGCAAGUCCACAAGUUGAUCUAAGAUGUUCUGCUGAUCGCUUUUGUUCAUAACAUGGUAGACACAUUUUGUUCAUAUGGAAGUUGAUGCCGGCUUGGUGAUUGAAGGAUUGGUCUCUUUCAUAAUACUCUGUACCGAAAUACUUGUAGUUGGGGGAACUUGAACUAGUUCCCCCCAACUACAAGUAUUUCGGUACAGAGGGAGUAUUUUGUAGUAAUCAAGUGAUCGAACAAUUGGUCUCUUAGGAGCUUAGCCUUUAUAUUUUGCAGCAAGACAUGUCUUGUAUGUCGACUUAUGUAUUACCUUCAUGGUUGUAGCAAACUUGAGUGAUGAUAACAAAUGUUCAAUAUAUGUUGAAUAAAUGUACUAGUGAAUGGUAUCUUGUGAUGAAUAGAA